AGCGAACGCUGGCGGCAGGCCUAACACAUGCAAGUCGAGCGGCCGUAGCAAUACGGCAGCGGCAGACGGGAUAGUAACACGUGGGAACGCGCCCUUCGGUUCGGAAUAACUCAGGGAAACUUGAGCUAAUACCGGAUACGCCCUUACGGGGAAAGAUUUAUUGCCGAAGGAACGGCCCGCGUCGGAUUAGCUAGUUGGUGAGGUAAUGGCUCACCAAGGCGACGAUCCGUAGCUGGUCNGAGAGGAUGACCAGCAUCACUGGGACUGAGACACGGCCCAGACUCCUACGGGAGGCAGCAGGUGGGGAAUAUUGGACAAUGGGCGCAAGCCUGAUCCAGCCAUGCCGCGUGAGUGAUG
RNAcentral lists this ribosomal RNA (357 nucleotides) under uncultured bacterium. Its description in RNAcentral is "bacterial SSU rRNA". It matches the Rfam family "Bacterial small subunit ribosomal RNA", at positions 29 to 410 of the family's 1533-position model. The record is from RNAcentral.